This is a long non-coding RNA of Mastomys coucha (southern multimammate mouse), 1087 nucleotides long. RefSeq lists it as uncharacterized. The transcript has 2 exons. Lineage: Eukaryota; Metazoa; Chordata; Mammalia; Rodentia; Muridae. The record is from RefSeq and is a predicted model, not a curated record.
UCCCAUGGCUAAUGAUAGGCAGGCUUUGAUGGAGAAAGCUAUGGUAAUUUGUUUUUCAUGGUGGCAUAGCACUCCUACCAUACCUCCACCAGGACUUCAUUUGUCCUAGAGGAGAAAAGAAGUUGGGAUAAUUGAGGGAGCCAUCUAUUGUUAUCUUAAGUUCCUGCCAGACUAUUCUAGAACAUAUCAACAAUGUCCAAGCUCACUCCAAAAUCUAACCACUGAUAGGAAAUUAGCUAGCACCUGAUUUCAAGAUGUAUUUAUUAGCCAGUUUAAGGCUAGGUUAUGCUGCUAUGACAACUGAAGUUGUUAAGAAUUAACUGGAGCAUGGCAAAACUACUAUCAUUCAUGACUCAUGAUCAUCAAGGUGCCCAUGGACUCUUCAUGUUUGUCUGUAGCAAAAGGAAAAACAACAUGCCCAUCAGUUUCUGCUCAGAGAUAACUCACUUCUACUCAUAAAUUCAAUAGCUACUGUUUGUCUCACUGCCAGUAAAAUAUCAGUGAAACAUAGAUGGAUAAUUCUCCCCCUUGAGGAGACCACAUUUUUAAAAGUAGCCUUCCAUUUCAUUCAUGACCACAGACAAGGGACUAAGUAUGGACACAGAAGACAUUAGGAUGGACACAAACUCCUCCACUGCAGAUCCCAAAUGAGCACAGGAACUGUGAACCUCAGCACUUUGGGUCCAGGAGGCAGUCUCUGUAAGGCCUGCCUUGGGGACCAAUUUCCAUUCUACAGACUCAGAAUGAUGUGGAAUACUUACUGUGAGUCACUCACCAGCAGUGUGAGUACCUGCCUGCACUAUCACCUCAGUGCCUAACUUCAAGUGCUGCCUCUUGAUGAAAAUUCAAAUUGCUGAGUGUGAAUGAAUUCAGCUUGGUGGAAAACUUGAAUCCUCGAUGCCCAGAAAUACCCAGUUUGCCUCUGACUGACAGCUUUGCCCACCCUUUCAUUCUGCUCUUUUCCAACAAUGAAAAAAAAAAAACCUCCAAAAAGUCUUCAGCCUGUACCCACACAAUGCUCACACUAGUUUCUGCUUCCCUGCAUCAGACCCACAGAUGAAGGAAAAUAAAUAAAGAAUUCCCAGGA